Molecule: long non-coding RNA, 2001 nt
Organism: Oreochromis niloticus (Nile tilapia)
Lineage: Eukaryota; Metazoa; Chordata; Actinopteri; Cichliformes; Cichlidae
Source: Ensembl
UCCCAGGUAAACACAAGAGGACUGCUGGUGUUUAGGUACGCUCUGGAAACACUGAUAGAUCCCGAGACACCGGAUAUGUUUACGCGAACCAUGCUUCACAAACACGUGCCGGUGACCAGGAGCCUGAUGGACUCUGUGCUGCGUGACAUACGGAGGCAACGGAGGACACAGGACCUCGCACGUGUAUUAGACAGUGGGUAUUGCGAAUGUAACUCCGGACACCCCAGUCGCAGCAUUGCAUGCCGUGGCCAGUGUCAAACGGCUUACGCAUACUACUACAAUCACACAGAAACACACCCUUUCAUCGCAAGCAAAAGCGAUCACAGUUACUACUUCGCACACCUGUACCGGCAUUUGGGCAAACUGGAACGUAUGAGCAAAGAAAUGAAACAGGAGUACGGGGGGCGCAACCAGUUCGAGCUAAUAGCCGACAUGGUCUUCACCAUCUUGACAAGACACCGCUUCAGUGACCGAGAAUCAAUUUAUCUGGGAUUGGGCGAGGUCGUAGACGUCACCGUGGGCAAUGCUUCUCUGUCUCUCGGACACCACUUACCGGACAUACACCUACGCUUGUGCAGCCGUGCCCGCACCACGGGCGAAGAGCACGCCAGUGUGAAGGUGUACGACGCCGCCGUCGUGAAAUAUCUGUUCUGCGACACCUUGGAAGUGACUAGACUGUUUCAAGCGUCUACUACGUUCAAUUACAUCAUAUCAAACACCGCACCCAGAUACACCAUUGAACGUAUCAUGCUGCUGAACAUCACCGGUCCGGGAGAAGGCAAGAGCUACACGAACAACGUGCUGGAUUAUCAGUUCCGCAGGGUAUCAGGUUGCAUCGAAAGACUCACUUCGUUCACCAUGCAGGCAUUCAAGUACAAGCAGAACAGGAAUGCCUGCGUGGUGAUGAUAGACGACGCUCACAUAACACAUGAGAAAAACACGAAAGCGAUCGACAAAGAAUCAAACGUCAUCCCCAACACGUUUAAAAACCUGCUCGAUACCAGCGUGUUGGAAAGCGACGUGGUGACCAAAGACGCCACGACCGGCAAAAUCAACACAGUGAAAUAUCAGGCCGUCCACAACUGCGGAUUUGUGUGGAACACAAACACCAUGGGCUUCGUGAGCGACGCGUGGGCUGACCGAUGUUUGAUUAUGGAAUCUGAAUUUCCACGAGAUGUCACGCAGACCCGAAGCACUAUACAAAUCCGCGAUGCAGUGGAGAACCACAAGAUGGAUCGCAUCGCAGCGCUGUGCUUGUACAGACAGAACUUAAUACAGUCGGCCACGAUGAUCGCAGAGUCCGAGGUCAUGCAAUUUGGCCCCAGAUUCGACAAAGCCAGAGACACGUGCAUGUCAGCGUUUUACGCGACCCACAUCACGUGCGCCGGUCUGGUGGGUCGAAGGGUUGCUUUUUGCAUAAACCAACUGGUGUUUUCGGAGGCCAUGAAGAUGGCGUGUCAUUUCGUAUUUGACAUUUGGAUCCCUCCGUGGACAAAGAUUCCAGACAGGAGGGACUAUCCGGAUGGCGAUGCCUACAUGAAAAAGCUCAACGACCACAGACUGAGAGCUCUGAAUAAGCUCUCUUUCGGACAGAUAUGCCUAGAGACCAAUGCCGUGUACAAACUGUGCACAGCAGCCUGUCUGCCGGAUAUAUGCCCGCGUGCCCUUGACUCGCAAGGAAGGUUCGCGUGCAAGGUGUUGGGGUACGUUUUAACACAGGUGCACAAGCAAAACCUCAAAACCACUAUCAAGAACGACAACGUGUGCAUUUCAGGGAUCGAUGACAUGUUCUUCUCGUCGAACCACUUCAAGGGCGGCAGCACCACGGCUCACGAGAUGAUCAUGCUGUGUUCGAAGUGCCCGCUCGAUCGGCUGACCAAAGUGAAGCGAGUACACAAAAAUUGUGCACAUACAGAUUGUCCCCCAAUCAUCUUCCGUCACACGUGAAGAGAGGUCAAACGAAGCCGUCGAAAAAAGUCACUUCUGUCACGCUCUCACUCG